GAAGACUAAGACAUGCUAGUCGAGCGCUUCAGCCAAAACGAGGCGCGGCAUACAGCUCAGUAACACGUGGCUAAUCUGCCCUUGGGACAAGAACAACCCCGGGAAACUGGGGCUAAUUCUUGAUAGGCGAAGAACUCUGGAAUGAGUCUUCACCCAAUAGAUUCAAAGUUAUGCUCUUUGAAUCGCCCAAGGAUGAGGCCGCGACCGAUCAGGUUGUUGGUGAGGUAAUGGCUCACCAAGCCUUUUACCGGUGCGGGCCGUGAGAGCGGGAGCCCGGAGAUGGGCACUGAGACAAGGGCCCAGGCCCUACGGGGCGCAGCAGUCGCGAAAACUUUGCAAUAAGCGAAAGCUUGACAGGGCUAUCCCGAGUGCCAUCCGCUGAGGAAGGCUUUUACCCAGUCUAGAACGCUGGGGGAAUAAGGAGAGGGCAAGUCUGGUGUCAGCCGCCGCGGUAAUACCAGCUCUCCGAGUGGUGUGGAUGUUUAUUGGGCCUAAAGCAUCCGUAGCUGGCUAAGUUAGUCCCUUGUUAAAUCCACCGAAUUAAUCGUUGGAUUGCGGGGGAUACUGCUUGGCUAGGGAACGAGAGAGGCAGACGGUAUUUCCGGGGUAGGGGUGAAAUCCUAUAAUCCCGGGAAGACCACCAGUGGCGAAGGCUGUCUGCUAGAACGCGUCCGACGGUGAGGGAUGAAAGCUGGGGGAGCGAACCGGAUUAGAUACCCGGGUAGUCCCAGCUGUAAACGAUGCAGACUAGGUGUUUGGACGGCCACGUGCCGUUCUAGUGCCGCAGGGAAGCUGUUAAGUCUGCCGCCUGGGGAGUACGAUCGCAAGAUUGAAACUUAAAGGAAUUGGCGGGGGAGCACCACAAGGGGUGAAGCUUGCGGUUUAAUUGGAGUCAACGCCGGAAAUCUCACCGGGAGCGACAGCAGUAUGAAAGCCAGAUU
RNAcentral lists this ribosomal RNA (941 nucleotides) under uncultured archaeon. Its description in RNAcentral is "bacterial SSU rRNA". It matches the Rfam family "Archaeal small subunit ribosomal RNA", at positions 39 to 960 of the family's 1478-position model. The record is from RNAcentral.